CGCCUAACACAUGCAAGUCGAACGAAGUAGCAAUACUUAGUGGCAGACGGGUGAGUAACAUGUAGGUAUCUGCCCUUUGGCCUGGAAUAACACGAGGAAACUUGUGCUAAUACCGGAUAAGUCUUUACGGAGAAAGCUUUAUGCACCAUUGGAUGAGCCUGCACUUGAUUAGUUUGUUGGUGGGGUAAUGGCCUACCAAGACUGUGAUCAAUAGCUGAUUUGAGAGGAUGAUCAGCCACAUUGGGACUGAGACACGGCCCAAACUCCUACGGGAGGCAGCAGUGGGGAAUCUUGCACAAUGGAGGAAACUCUGAUGCAGCGAUGCCGCGUGAGUGAAGAAGGCCCUUGGGUUGUAAAGCUCUUUCGUCGGGGAAGAAAAUGACUGUACCCGAAUAAGAAGGUCCGGCUAACUUCGUGCCAGCAGCCGCGGUAAUACGAAGGGACCUAGCGUAGUUCGGAAUUACUGGGCUUAAAGAGUUCGUAGGUGGUUGAAAAAGUUGGUGGUGAAAUCCCAGAGCUUAACUCUGGAACUGCCAUCAAAACUUUUCAGCUAGAGUAUGAUAGAGGAAAGCAGAAUUUCUAGUGUAGAGGUGAAAUUCGUAGAUAUUAGAAAGAAUACCAAUUGCGAAGGCAGCUUUCUGGAUCAUUACUGACACUGAGGAACGAAAGCAUGGGUAGCGAAGAGGAUUAGAUACCCUCGUAGUCCAUGCCGUAAACGAUGUGUGUUAGACGUUGGAAAUUUAUUUUCAGUGUCGCAGCGAAAGCGAUAAACACACCGCCUGGGGAGUACGAC
RNAcentral lists this ribosomal RNA (793 nucleotides) under uncultured Pelagibacteraceae bacterium. RNAcentral's name for it is "bacterial SSU rRNA". It matches the Rfam family "Bacterial small subunit ribosomal RNA", at positions 45 to 886 of the family's 1533-position model. The record is from RNAcentral. Lineage: Bacteria; Pseudomonadati; Pseudomonadota; Alphaproteobacteria; Candidatus Pelagibacterales; Candidatus Pelagibacteraceae.